Pan troglodytes (chimpanzee) is the source of this 6433-nucleotide long non-coding RNA. RefSeq lists it as uncharacterized. Lineage: Eukaryota; Metazoa; Chordata; Mammalia; Primates; Hominidae. The transcript is spliced from 3 exons. The record is from RefSeq and is a predicted model, not a curated record.
GCGGCCAAUCCGCUCCCGAGUUGCACUCCUGAUGGGCAGCUCCAAUGACCAAUAGACUCUCGCACUUCUAUUUCAAGUCCCGCCCCAAUCCCCACCCUCUGCCCUGAGUCUUUUCCCUUCCCCCGAGCGGAGGAAGGGGAAGGCGGUGGUCGUCGUUCGAGUGGCCUCCUCAGGGUCAGAGUUGAGAAGGGGUGGUGGCUGCUCCUACCUCCUCCGGAUCCUAGGGCCUCGACCAGCUCGUUCUGAUGCACUGGGUCGCGGUAGCAGAUAAACCAUGGGAACAGCUCUCCUUCCCUCUGCCUUUGAAUUUGUGUGGGGGGCCAGUGUGAGCAGUGAGUGCCCUCACCGGAUGCCCAGGUCCCAGAUGGGUCGCGUUGCACUGGCUCCUCCAAUGUGACUGUCAGGUCUGUUUCCUCUUCGCGACCCCACCUCGCCCCCCACCCCCCAGGUCGCUAUGGGGGCUGCAGCAGGCACAUUUCUGCCCUGCCUGUUUGGGAGUCCUGGCAGAGCCUUCUUGCAGGUCACAACCCGCCUCCUUGGGAGUUCCAGCUUGAGGGGGAGACGGGGAGCAGCAAGGUCUCAAAUAUGCCCCUGAGGCUUCUGCUUGCCGUCCUGAUUCUCUGCAACUGAGCCUGUGGGGCAGACCCUUGGCUCUGGUCCCUGGGAAGCUCCUCUCUGUUGGUUGUCCCCACUAACACACACAGAUCUCAUACUUGGGUGGAUGAUGGAUAAGGUCGGUCCCUGGAGAAACGCUAGAAAUUGGAUCACUUGGUCUACCCAGUCUUGGAUAGUGAACGGAGCCUCCUGUGUGGACGGAAGCCCAAGAGGUUUGGACCAACCUCCAGCCCAGCCCUGGGUCCAGGUUGAGGUGGGUUUCAUCAUUAAAUGCUUCCUGCAGGUAAGGUUCCAGCUGUCCCCACUCCCAGGAGCAAGCUGUUAGGCUGGGUCCUGUCCACUUCUCUCUGGGUCUGUCUGUUCCCUCCUGAGUACCCAUCAGCCCUUUGCCCUGGAUUUUGGACUCCCCAGGCCUUACCUGCAGGUCUUGAGCACAGCUAGUUCUGGACCUAUUCUGUCUGCCUUGUUAGAUCAUGUCCACCCUUCUUGGAGCCUGCUCUCUGUGGCUCCCCCAGCACAAGAGCCUUCAGGCUUCUUAAGUAAGUGGACCUUGUAGGUGCAUAUGGGUUCCAUGUGGAGCCAAACCCCUGCCUAUGUAUUUCAGUAAAUUCUAAGGAUUGCCCUUGGAGUCACCUCCAUGCUCCUCACAGACCACAAACAUAGCUCCAAGGAUCCACUGCUCUCAGGGUUGGUUUGUGCAUAUAUGUGUGUGUGUGUGUCACUGCAGAUAGGCUGUUCUAGAAUCCACUUGGGCUGCAGUUCCAGCUACCAGAGGUACAGCAUUUCCCAGCCAUUCCACAGCCCCUGGUCACUCACACCCUCCUGGAGGCCUGUGGUCUGCCUGUCUCCAUUCCCCUCCUCUUUACCACUGUGCACAUGCAGCCUUGUACCUUCUCCCUAACUCAGCACCCAAUAUGCACUUUUUCAACAGGGUAUCUCUGCUCCCUAGGAUCUGAUAUUUAUUUUCUUGCAGCCCAAGCUGACCUUCCCAAACUCAUUCUCCUCAUAGUUGUUGAAAGUGUUCCCUCUUUUCAGCUCCUGUAAUUGGCCCCACUUCCUCCUACAAGGUGUUCUGAGUCACUCUUUAUCUGCCAACCAAGGAAUAGUCAGUUCACCUGUAGUUAAGGACAAGCCCUGUAGAGACUGAGUUGCACUGGCAGAAACACUGGGCAUGUGGAUCUAAAUGGCACAUGAGUCCUUCCAGCGCUGCUCCCAGGAGUCCCUCACUGGCAUAAGGCCUAUUGUUAAGGUCAUUUAGGACCACGUCUUCUAAGCAGCACCCACAGAGUGUCACCACUGUGGUACCCUAUUCCCGGCCCAGCUCUGACCUCCUAUUGUCCUCUUGGUCAGAACCAAGAAUUUCCUCCUCUGCUUCAGGGACCCCAAAGCAGGUGCCUCAGAGGGUCCUACUCCCCUUCCUCACUUUCCACCUUGCUCUGCCUCCAACCCUGUUUCUGGCUCACAUGCUCCCCACCCUCCUGCUCUGGUUAUCUCUCCGGAAUCUCUGAGCUCCUUCCACUGGGCCAGAACCCUCUCUCAGAAUGUCAAGCUCUUGAACUCCCACCUCCUCCAAGAAGCUUUUUUGAUAGAUUGGAAGGGACCUAAUACUCUUUCUGACUUCAGCCUUUCCAGCCUCUUCCCAUCAGCAACAGUGGCUACAUAACAACUUGGAUAAGGGCUGGGCUCUGGGUCUAAGAUGUGCAAGAUGGAUAUGGAUGGAAUUUUAAAGACAAGCAGACAAGCUAAUCAAAGAGAUCCAGAAAGAGUAACAACAUUGCUGUUGUAUAUAAGCCGGUGGCAUUGAGAGCUGAGAGGGAGGGUUAUUAUGUUUCUGCAGGGGAGACCAAGGGGAAUAAGCCUACUGAAACCAGAAAGACUUCAUGGAGGAGGUGGGCUUCAUAGAAGGUUGGUGGCUUUCCCACAUUUGCAAGUGUACUCUUCUGGUUAGGUUAUGUUUGGGUUCAUAUUCUGAGAUUCAUCUAUCUUCAUUAUAAUAGUAUCUCUGUGUUGCUUCUCAUCUGUCCAUCUCCCUUAUGUUCCUCUGGGGCAGUGCUGGUUGUAUCAGACUUCCUUAGAUGGGAAAGCCCCUGAGGCCAGGCUCCUUGUCUGUCUUCAUUGCUCUGUAGGUUACCUAGAACAGUGCCUAUUCAGAUAACUGGUUAUUCCUGAAGGUUCUUUAAGGCAAAUACUCUAGGCCCAGACCAAGAACUGGAGGGCCUAGACUGAGGUUUUAGCCUGGAUAGGAUCUGGCCUUAUUGAUGAGUGCAUCCCAUCAGAUUCACCAGAGAUGCUCCUCUCACUCACCCCACCUGGGCAGGUGGGCCCCAUCUUUUAAGAGAACAUCUCCGGACAAUGCUGCUCAUACUUUGCCUCCCUUUUGCUCUUCUUAUCUCCCUUCUGAGAAGCCAUAGUCUGGGAGGCAGGACACGGGAGUCCUAGUCUAUGGCUGCCAGUUGUAUGACCUUGGGGAAGUAAUUUCAGCUCUCUGGGACUCGGUUUCAUCAUAUUAAAAUGCAAGGGUUCUAUGGAUUUGACUCUUAUUAUCAGAUAAAAAUGAAUAUUAAAAGAACAAGAUAACAUUUUAGGAAAUGGACUAGAGGAGGAUUCCUAAAGCCUCUUUCAACUCCACAGUUCUGAUUCUAAACAAAAUCUGUCCUGUGAAUCUGUUUCACUCUCCAGCUCCAGCCCUGUCUGCUUCUCCCUAAUCUGUUUCUGUCUGAUGGGCUCAGUCUUUGUGUGCACAGCAUCCAUGUGAGGCCUGCACUUCUGCGGUUCACCCCAGGAGAUGAAGGGGAGGAGAGCUUAGGCUCUCAGCAAUGUAAAUCUCCCUAGGUCCCUCCAAGCUUUAGAGGGGCCCCUGAAAGGUGAGAAGGCAAAGAAGAGGAGGGCAAGAUGGCUGAGGCCCAGGAUAUCCCCAGUAAACAUCAAAGGCCCCAGAAACCAAGGUCAUUGCACCUCCCUGUAGGGGCCCCUACGAAGAGGCUAAUGAUGACACAGGUUCUUAAAACAGCCAGGAUGGAGACCCAGCCUGGGCAUCUGAGUGCCUGGAUCCUGCUGCCCCCCCCCACCCUGGCACCCCCAACUCCCUUGCCCAUCAGUCUCAGCUCCUGAGGUGUGCAGAGGGGGUGGGUAUGCACGAGCCCAGACUUCUCUCCCUCUCCUGAGGACCUUACCCCAGGGGAGAAGUGGGUGGCUAAAACAAAGGAGGGGAGCAGAACCCCUCUACAGAUAACAGUGGAGGGGGGAGGGGGUAAGCAGAGAGAAGAGAGGAAUUGACAGAGGAGGUGCUGCUAGCUGUCAGGAGGGAGACCCAAAUUCUCAUGUCUUCCCAUUUCGCAGGCUGUUUGCUAGAAGGACUUAAUUAAGGAGCCCAAAUAUAGUUUCUUUUGAACAGUGAAUAGGGCUGGGAGCACAGAUGAGGAAUGUGAUGCUCUGGGGUGGGGAGAGAAGGGACCAACGCUGAGAUGCUGGAGGGCCCAGAGUGAAGGGGACAGAGAGGACAGGGGUGAGCUGGUGACUCCUUUUCCCUGCCAUAAGCUCUGCUGCUUUCCUUGAUGGAAGGGGGGCCACUUCUUCCUUUCCCAUCCUCUGUCCUGAUCUCCCUCCAACUCCCUGGCUCCUGCCUUCACCUCCUUUACUGUCCCCUGAGAACAGCUCUCUCUGUCCAGUCCUCCCAGCACUCACCAGAAGCUUUAAGUCUUGGUUCACCUUCUGCCUCCACCAAGCCCCCUUUUUGCCUCCUCCCUUUCGUCCCCCACUCCUUCUCCUCCCAGGCCCCGCUGGCGCCCAGCAUAGCACUACAGAUGUAGGAGCAGAUCAAGAAGGGUGGGGGUGGUAGCUGUUGCUUUUCUGGGAUAUUCUUAGCCUGUCUGGGGGCUGGAGCUGGAAUCAGCGUUUCCAUCUCAACCAGGCAGGUGGCUGCCAGAAACUGCCACUGUGACUGGGUCUUCAUCUAGUUCCAUAUCCCUUAUCCUGUCCCUUCCUCCUCUAUAUUGAUUUCAUCUAUGAACACAGACCCUCUGAGAGUCCAGCCUUCCCACCCUUGUGCCCUGGAUGGAAUGUUUCCUCUGCCUAUCAGGCAUAGCCCCAGGAAGGUGUGCAAACCUCACUGGAGGCUCUGGGGGGAAAGAAGGGCCUUCGAGAACUCUAGCUCAGAUGCUCCCUAGAGCAGAACACAGCCCUCUCCUCUCUGCCCCCAGGCCCUCUUCUUUCAUCUGCCCCCAACAACCCCUGCAUGGUACUCAGUCCCCAGACUGUAUUCACCACCAUGAAGGCCUUUCUUAUCUUGAUUUACAGGAGUCACUCAGGGGCCCUAGAGUUUCAGAAGCUGCCUCCUGAAAGCGGCUGAACCCUGGAGUCCAGGCCUCCUUUGGGCCAGAACAAGGGGCUCACUGACCCAGAUCUCUCCCCACAUCUUUUUUUUUUUUUUUUGAGACAAAGUCUCACUCUUUUGCCCAGGCUAGAGUGCAGUGGCAUGAUCUUCACUCAUUCCUGGGCUCAAGGGAUCCUCCCACCUCAGCCUCCCAAGUAGUUGGGACCACAGGCAUGCAUCACCAGGCCUGGCUAAUUUUUGUACUUUUUGUAGAGAUGGAGUUUCACCAUGCUGCCCAGGCUGGUCUCUAACUCCUGGGCUCAAGCAGUCUGCCCACCUCAGCCUCAAAGUGUUAGGAUUACAGGCAUGAGCCACCUCACCCAGCCUUCUCAGAUGCCUUUAUCAGCAGAGGGAGGGGCAAAGAAGAAAUCUCACUCAUUCACAAAUCGCACAAAAAAUGUUUGUCACCUUAAGAGGGACAGACAGUGCAUGGUCUCCUAUGUGGGUUCUGAGGUCAUUCGGUCUAUGUUCAAAUCCAGCCCCUCCACUUAUGACCUGGGGCCCUUGGGGCAAGUUUCUUAAUUCUUCUGAGGUCUAUAAAAGUGGACCAUCCAAGGUGCAGUAGGAAGAGAUCACCAUCCACAGCCGGGCUGAGGCUGAGAGCACGUACCAGAUCAAGUAUGAGGAGCUGCAGACGCUGGCUGGGAAGCAUGGGGAUGACCUGCGUUGUACAAAGACAGAUCUCCCAGAUGAACCGGAACAUCAGCAGGCUCCAGGCUGAGACUGAGGGCCUCAAAGGCCAGAGGGCUUCCCUGGAGGCCGCCAUCGCAGAUGCUGAGCAGUGGGGGGAGCUGGCCAUUAAAGAUGCCAACACCAAGCUGUCUGAGCUGGAGGCCGCCAUGCAGCGGGCCAAGCAGGACAUGGCGUGCAGCUGGGUGAGUACCAGAAGCUGGCCCUGGACAUCGAGAUCGCCACCUAUGGGAAGCUGCUGGAGGGCAAGGAGAGCCGUCUGGAGUCUGGGAUGCAGAACUUUCGCUCUUGUUGGUCAGGCUGGAAUGCUAUGGCACGAUCUCGGCUCACCGCAACCUCCACUUCCCAGGUUCUAGCGAUUCUCCUGCCUCGGCCUCCCGAGUAGCUGGGAUUACAGGCGGAGUUUGAUUCUUGUUGCCCAGGCUGGAGUGCAAUGGCGCGAUCUUGGCUCACCACAACCUCUGCCUCCCGGGUUCAAGCGAUUCUCCUGCCUCAGCCUCCCAAGUAGCUGGGAUUACUGGCGCAGGCCACCAUGCCCAGCUUAUUUUGUAUUUUUAGUAGAGACAGGGUUUCUCCAUUUUGGUCAGGCUGGUCUCGAACUCCUGACCUCGUGAUCAACCCGCCUCAGCCUCCCAAAGUGCUGGAAUUACAGGCGUGAGCCACCGCGCCUGGCCUGGAAUCAUAAUUUCUUUGAGUGGGCUCAAGAUGAAAUCCCUGUAAGAAAAAAAUUAAAAGGGAGGAGAAAACUCUAGGAAA